AUGCAUCUGACAGCCCUGGAGCAGUAGUAUCUGCUACUAAGGUUUCCACCACAGUGGCAAGAAAAAUAAGGUUCUUGUGCUUUCUGUUUGUCUGGUUAUAGCAGCCAAGAUUGAAUGGGGGAAUACAAAA
This 130-nucleotide small nucleolar RNA is filed under the name Dasypus novemcinctus (nine-banded armadillo). RNAcentral's name for it is "Small nucleolar RNA SNORA31 (ENSDNOG00000034374.1)". Lineage: Eukaryota; Metazoa; Chordata; Mammalia; Cingulata; Dasypodidae. The record is from RNAcentral.